GAUGAAGAACGCAGCGAAAUGCGAUAAGUAAUGUGAAUUGCAGAAUUCAGUGAAUCAUCGAAUCUUUGAACGCACAUUGCGCCCGCCAGUAUUCUGGCGGGCAUGCCUGUUCGAGCGUCAUUACAACCCUCAGGCCCCCGGGGCUGGCGUUGGGGAUCGGCGGAGCCCCCCGUGGGCACACGCCGUCCCCCAAAUGCAGUGGCGGUCCCGCCGCAGCUUCCAUCGCGUAGUAGCUAACACCUCGCGACUGGAGAGCGGCGCGGCCACGCCGUAAAACACCCAACUCUGCUGAAGUUGACCUCGAAUCAGGUAGGAAUACCCGCUGAACUUAAGCAUAUCAAUAAGCGGAGGA
RNAcentral lists this unclassified non-coding RNA (352 nucleotides) under soil metagenome. RNAcentral describes it as "partial contains 5.8S ribosomal RNA, internal transcribed spacer 2, and large subunit ribosomal RNA". The stretch from base 1 to 120 matches the Rfam family "5.8S ribosomal RNA", at positions 35 to 154 of the family's 154-position model. The record is from RNAcentral.